This 248-nucleotide ribosomal RNA is filed under the name uncultured bacterium. RNAcentral's name for it is "partial 16S ribosomal RNA". It matches the Rfam family "Bacterial small subunit ribosomal RNA", at positions 529 to 776 of the family's 1533-position model. The record is from RNAcentral.
AGGGGGCGAGCGUUGUUCGGAAUUACUGGGCGUAAAGGGCGCGUAGGCGGCCGAUCAAGUCAGAUGUGAAAGUCCUGGGCUUAACCUGGGGACUGCAUUUGAUACUGAUUGGCUUGAAUGCAGGAGAGGAUAGCGGAAUUCCCAGUGUAGAGGUGAAAUUCGUAGAUAUUGGGAAGAACACCGGUGGCGAAGGCGGCUAUCUGGACUGUGAUUGACGCUGAGGCGCGAAAGCGUGGGGAGCAAACAGG